GGUGCUUGCAUCAUGAUUUACAUUUGAGUGAGUGGCGAACUGGUGAGUAACACGUGGGAAACCUGCCCAGAAGCGGGGGAUAACACCUGGAAACAGAUGCUAAUACCGCAUAACAACUUGGACCGCAUGGUCCGAGUUUGAAAGAUGGCUUCGGCUAUCACUUUUGGAUGGUCCCGCGGCGUAUUAGCUAGAUGGUGGGGUAACGGCUCACCAUGGCAAUGAUACGUAGCCGACCUGAGAGGGUAAUCGGCCACAUUGGGACUGAGACACGGCCCAAACUCCUACGGGAGGCAGCAGUAGGGAAUCUUCCACAAUGGACGAAAGUCUGAUGGAGCAACGCCGCGUGAGUGAAGAAGGGUUUCGGCUCGUAAAACUCUGUUGUUAAAGAAGAACAUAUCUGAGAGUAACUGUUCAGGUAUUGACGGUAUUUAACCAGAAAGCCACGGCUAACUACGUGCCAGCAGCCGCGGUAAUACGUAGGUGGCAAGCGUUGUCCGGAUUUAUUGGGCGUAAAGCGAGCGCAGGCGGUUUUUUAAGUCUGAUGUGAAAGCCUUCGGCUCAACCGAAGAAGUGCAUCGGAAACUGGGAAACUUGAGUGCAGAAGAGGACAGUGGAACUCCAUGUGUAGCGGUGAAAUGCGUAGAUAUAUGGAAGAACACCAGUGGCGAAGGCGGCUGUCUGGUCUGUAACUGACGCUGAGGCUCGAAAGUAUGGGUAGCAAACAGGAUUAGAUACCCUGGUAGUCCAUACCGUAAACGAUGAAUGCUAAGUGUUGGAGGGUUUCCGCCCUUCAGUGCUGCAGCUAACGCAUUAAGCAUUCCGCCUGGGGAGUACGGCCGCAAGGCUGAAACUCAAAGGAAUUGACGGGGGCCCGCACAAGCGGUGGAGCAUGUGGUUUAAUUCGAAGCUACGCGAAGAACCUUACCAGGUCUUGACAUACUAUGCAAAUCUAAGAGAUUAGACGUUCCCUUCGGGGACAUGGAUACAGGUGGUGCAUGGUUGUCGUCAGCUCGUGUCGUGAGAUGUUGGGUUAAGUCCCGCAACGAGCGCAACCCUUAUUAUCAGUUGCCAGCAUUAAGUUGGGCACUCUGGUGAGACUGCCGGUGACAAACCGGAGGAAGGUGGGGAUGACGUCAAAUCAUCAUGCCCCUUAUGACCUGGGCUACACACGUGCUACAAUGGAUGGUACAACGAGUUGCGAACUCGCGAGAGUAAGCUAAUCUCUUAAAGCCAUUCUCAGUUCGGAUUGUAGGCUGCAACUCGCCUACAUGAAGUCGGAAUCGCUAGUAAUCGCGGAUCAGCAUGCCGCGGUGAAUACGUUCCCGGGCCUUGUACACACCGCCCGUCACACCAUGAGAGUUUGUAACACCCAAAGUCGGU
RNAcentral lists this ribosomal RNA (1380 nucleotides) under Lactobacillus sp. RNAcentral's name for it is "bacterial SSU rRNA". It matches the Rfam family "Bacterial small subunit ribosomal RNA", at positions 64 to 1431 of the family's 1533-position model. The record is from RNAcentral. Lineage: Bacteria; Bacillati; Bacillota; Bacilli; Lactobacillales; Lactobacillaceae.